Molecule: ribosomal RNA, 465 nt
Filed under: Vreelandella stevensii
Lineage: Bacteria; Pseudomonadati; Pseudomonadota; Gammaproteobacteria; Oceanospirillales; Halomonadaceae
Description: partial 16S ribosomal RNA
Rfam family: Bacterial small subunit ribosomal RNA
Source: RNAcentral
CCUACGGGAGGCAGCAGUGGGGAAUAUUGGACAAUGGGCGAAAGCCUGAUCCAGCCAUGCCGCGUGUGUGAAGAAGGCCUUCGGGUUGUAAAGCACUUUCAGUGGGGAAGAAAGCCUUGGGGCUAAUACCCUCGAGGAAGGACAUCACCCACAGAAGAAGCACCGGCUAACUCCGUGCCAGCAGCCGCGGUAAUACGGAGGGUGCGAGCGUUAAUCGGAAUUACUGGGCGUAAAGCGCGCGUAGGCGGUCUGAUAAGCCGGUUGUGAAAGCCCCGGGCUCAACCUGGGAACGGCAUCCGGAACGGUCAGGCUAGAGUGCAGGAGAGGAAGGUAGAAUUCCCGGUGUAGCGGUGAAAUGCGUAGAGAUCGGGAGGAAUACCAGUGGCGAAGGCGGCCUUCUGGACUGACACUGACGCUGAGGUGCGAAAGCGUGGGUAGCAAACAGGAUUAGCUACCCUAGUAGUC